GACGAACGCUGGCGGCGUGCUUAACACAUGCAAGUCGAACGGAAAGGCCCUGCUUGCAGGGUACUCGAGUGGCGAACGGGUGAGUAACACGUGGGUGAUCUGCCCUGCACUUCGGGAUAAGCUUGGGAAACUGGGUCUAAUACCGGAUAGGAGCCAUCUUUAGUGUGGUGGUUGGAAAGUUUUUUCGGUGUAGGAUGAGCUCGCGGCCUAUCAGCUUGUUGGUGGGGUAAUGGCCUACCAUGGCGGCGACGGGUAGCCGGCCUGAGAGGGUGUACGGCCACAGUGGGACUGAGAUACGGCCCAGACUCCUACGGGAGGCAGCAGGGGGGAAUAUUGCACAAUGGGCGCAAGCCUGAUGCAGCGACGCCGCGUGGGGGAUGAAGGCCUUCGGGUUGUAAACUCCUUUCGCUAGGGACGAAGCUUUUUUGUGACGGUACCUAGAUAAGAAGCACCGGCUAACUACGUG
RNAcentral lists this ribosomal RNA (466 nucleotides) under uncultured bacterium. Its description in RNAcentral is "partial 16S ribosomal RNA". It matches the Rfam family "Bacterial small subunit ribosomal RNA", at positions 28 to 507 of the family's 1533-position model. The record is from RNAcentral.